GAUGAACGCUGGCGGCGUGCCUAAUACAUGCAAGUCGAGCGAACAGACGAGAGUGCUUGCACUCUCUGACGUUAGCGGCGGACGGGUGAGUAACACGUGGGUAACCUACCUAUAAGACUGGGAUAACUUCGGGAAACCGGAGCUAAUACCGGAUAAUAUUUAGCUUCGCAUGAAGCAAUAGUGAAAGACGGUUCUGCUGUCACUUAUAGAUGGACCCGCGGUGUAUUAGCUAGUUGGUGAGGUAACGGCUCACCAAGGCAACGAUACAUAGCCGACCUGAGAGGGUGAUCGGCCACACUGGGACUGAGACACGGCCCAGACUCCUACGGGAGGCAGCAGUAGGGAAUCUUCCGCAAUGGACGAAAGUCUGACGGAGCAAUGCCGCGUGAGUGAAGAAGGUGUUCGGAUCGUAAAACUCUGUUGUAAGGGGAGAACAAGUACGUUAGUAACUGAACGUACCUUGACGGUACCUUACCAGAAAGCCACGGCUAACUACGUG
RNAcentral lists this ribosomal RNA (499 nucleotides) under uncultured bacterium. RNAcentral's name for it is "partial 16S ribosomal RNA". It matches the Rfam family "Bacterial small subunit ribosomal RNA", at positions 28 to 507 of the family's 1533-position model. The record is from RNAcentral.